Molecule: transfer RNA, 94 nt
Filed under: Clostridiaceae bacterium
Lineage: Bacteria; Bacillati; Bacillota; Clostridia; Eubacteriales; Clostridiaceae
Description: tRNA-Ser
Rfam family: tRNA
About the family: Transfer RNA (tRNA) molecules are approximately 80 nucleotides in length. Their secondary structure includes four short double-helical elements and three loops (D, anti-codon, and T loops). Further hydrogen bonds mediate the characteristic L-shaped molecular structure. tRNAs have two regions of fundamental functional importance: the anti-codon, which is responsible for specific mRNA codon recognition, and the 3' end, to which the tRNAs corresponding amino acid is attached (by aminoacyl-tRNA synthetases). tRNAs cope with the degeneracy of the genetic code in two manners: having more than one tRNA (with a specific anti-codon) for a particular amino acid; and 'wobble' base-pairing, i.e. permitting non-standard base-pairing at the 3rd anti-codon position.
Source: RNAcentral
GGAGAAGUACUCAAGUUGGCCGAAGAGGCGCCCCUGCUAAGGGUGUAGGUCGUUUAAAGACGGCGCGAGGGUUCGAAUCCCUCCUUCUCCGCCA